ACGUUACCUACAGAAGAAGCACCGGCUAACUCCGUGCCAGCAGCCGCGGUAAUACGGAGGGUGCGAGCGUUAAUCGGAAUUACUGGGCGUAAAGCGCAUGCAGGCGGCCUGUUAAGUCAGAUGUGAAAGCCCGGGGCGUUAACCUCGGAAUUGCAUUUGAAACUAGGCAGGCUAGAGUCUUGUAGAGGGGGGUAGGAAGUUUCAGGUGUAGCGGUGAAAUGCGUAGAGAUCUGAAGGAAUACCAGUGGCGAAGGCGGCCCCCUGGACAAAGACUGACGCUCAGAUGCGAAAGCGUGGGGAGCAAACAGGAUUAGAUACCCUGGUAG
Molecule: ribosomal RNA, 326 nt
Filed under: uncultured bacterium
Lineage: Bacteria
Description: bacterial SSU rRNA
Rfam family: Bacterial small subunit ribosomal RNA
Source: RNAcentral